This 253-nucleotide unclassified non-coding RNA is filed under the name uncultured Streptosporangiales bacterium. RNAcentral describes it as "contains 16S-23S intergenic spacer region". It matches the Rfam family "Bacterial small subunit ribosomal RNA", at positions 524 to 776 of the family's 1533-position model. The record is from RNAcentral. Lineage: Bacteria; Bacillati; Actinomycetota; Actinomycetes; Streptosporangiales.
UACGUAGGGUCCGAGCGUUGUCCGGAAUUAUUGGGCGUAAAGAGCUCGUAGGCGGCGUGUCGCGUCUGCUGUGAAAGUCCACGGCUUAACUGUGGGUGUGCAGUGGAUACGGGCAUGCUUGAGGUAGGUAGGGGAGACUGGAAUUCCUGGUGUAGCGGUGAAAUGCGCAGAUAUCAGGAGGAACACCGGUGGCGAAGGCGGGUCUCUGGGCCUUACCUGACGGUGAGGGACGAAAGCAUGGGGAGCGAACAGG